AUGACGGGCCGCCGCCGCGUCCUCCUCGCGCUGGCGCUGCUCCUCGCCGUCGCGCUCGCGCCCGCCCCGGCCGCGUCCCAGCCGCCGCCGCUCGACCCGCCGCCGUCCUGGGUGUUCCCCAACCCGCGCCUCCGGGCGGCCUACGUCGCGCUGCAGACCUGGCGCCGCACCGCCAUCUUCUCCGACCCGGCCAACUUCACCGCCAACUGGUCGGGCCCCAACGUCUGCGCCUACAACGGCGUCUUCUGCGCGCCGCACCCGGCGGACGGCGGCGUGGUCGUCGUGGCCGGGAUCGACCUCAACCACGCCGACAUCGCCGGGUACAUCCCCGACUCGCUCCCCGCGGGCCUCCCCGACCUCGCGCUGCUCCACCUCAACUCCAACCGCUUCUGCGGCGUGCUCCCCGACACCUUCCUCCACCUCCGCCUCCUCCACGAGCUCGACAUCAGCAACAACCGCUUCGUCGGCGGCUUCCCGGAGGUCGUGCUCCAGCUGCCCUCGCUCCGCUACCUCGACCUCAGGUUCAACGAGUUCGAGGGCCGCAUCCCGCCCGCGCUCUUCGACCGCCCGCUCGACGCCAUCUUCCUCAACUCCAACCGCCUCACGCGCCCCAUCCCGCCCAACCUCGGCAACUCGCCCGCCUCCGUGCUCGUGCUCGCGCACAACAGGCUCGGGGGAUGCAUCCCGCCGUCGAUUGGGAAGAUGGCCGAGACGCUCAACGAGAUCGUGCUCAUCGACGACGACCUCACCGGCUGCAUCCCGCCGCAGGUGGGGAUGCUCAGGAAGGUGGCCGUGUUCGAUGUCAGCGGCAACGACCUGCAGGGCCCGCUCCCGGCCACCGUCGCUGGACUGGUGGCCGUCCAGGAGCUCAACGUCGCCGGGAAUCUCUUGGAGGGCGCGGUGCCGGCGAGCGUCUGCGGACUGCCGAGUCUGAGGAACUUCACCUACGAGGACAACUUCUUCACCGGCCGGCCGGGAUGCGCCGUGGCGACGGCGGACGGCAGGUGGAACUGCAUCCCCGGCGCUCCCGCGCAGCGCCCGCCGGCACAGUGCGCCGCGGCGGCAGCCAGCCCGUUCGACUGCAGCAGGUCGCAGUGUCAGGAAUCAGCAGGGCCAGGCCCAGGCAAGGGAUCGCACGGAGGCCGCAGGCCGCCCACUCCGAGGGGUGGGCCGCCGAGGGGCCAUCGUCGAAGGUCGCCGCCACCGCCAGGCUGGUUUACGCCGCCGGGCCCAUUGUUCCCGCCGGGCUCGUCCACACCAUCGUCCCCGUCCCCGCCCGGUGGCUCCACAACGCCAGGAACGGCGGUGCCGCCACCUCCGACCCACAGCGAGAGCCCCGGGCACGCACUGCCGCCCUCCUCCGCACCACCACCCCAGGGCACCCCGUCUCCGUCCUCCGGCAACCAGCCGCCGUCCGCGUCCUCGCCGUCCAGUCACCAACCCACAACACCUCCCCCCGGGUACGCCCCUCCGGCCCUCACGCCGCCGACCGCGCCCACGCCAUCCUCGCCGCUGCCGCUGCCGGCCCCUGGUCCCUGGGCACCACCCCCUCCACCAGGCGGCGAAGGCGGAGCGCCAUCCUCUCCACCAAGCGGCGGAGGCGGGACGCCACCGGUUCACGGCAUGCCAUACUCGUCCCCGCCACCACCACCAACGACAGUGCCGUUGCCCCCGGUCCACGGCGUGUCAUACUCGUCGCCGCCGCCGCCGCUCCUCCCGCCGGUCUACGGGGUGUCCUACUCGUCGCCGCCGCCUCCAAUGCCGCUGGUCUACGGGGUGUCGUACGGGUCGCCGCCGCCACCGACGGGGCCGUAG
This 1815-nucleotide ribosomal RNA is filed under the name Triticum aestivum (bread wheat). RNAcentral's name for it is "partial small subunit ribosomal RNA". The record is from RNAcentral. Lineage: Eukaryota; Viridiplantae; Streptophyta; Magnoliopsida; Poales; Poaceae.